This is a non-coding RNA of Rhizobacter sp. Root1221, 105 nucleotides long. The record is from Rfam. Lineage: Bacteria; Pseudomonadati; Pseudomonadota; Betaproteobacteria; Burkholderiales; Sphaerotilaceae.
GCCUCGCGCCUGAAAGGGCGACGGCAGUGCCGGAGCGAGAAGUCAGCAGAGGCCGUAGUAGUGCGAGUCGGGGGCCGAUGAGGCAGAACCAAAAGCACGAAGGGC